GAUGAACGCUGGCGGCGUGCCUAAUACAUGCAAGUCGAGCGCAGGAAGCAUUUAGAAGUCUUCGGACGGACGAAUGUGGAAUGAGCGGCGGACGGGUGAGUAACACGUAGGUAACCUACCCAUCAGACUGGGAUAACCACCGGAAACGGUGGCUAAUACCGGAUAACCCUUUUAAACAAAAGUUUAAAGUUGAAAGGCGGUUUCGGCUGUCACUGAUGGAUGGACCUGCGGCGCAUUAGCUGGUUGGUGAGGUAGUGGCUCACCAAGGCGACGAUGCGUAGCCGACCUGAGAGGGUGAUCGGCCACACUGGGACUGAGACACGGCCCAGACUCCUACGGGAGGCAGCAGUAGGGAAUCUUCCGCAAUGGACGAAAGUCUGACGGAGCAACGCCGCGUGAGUGAAGAAGGGUUUCGGCUCGUAAAACUCUGUUGUUAAGGAAGAAUGACGGGUAUUUAACUGAUGCCCGUGUGACGGUACUUAACCAGAAAGCCACGGCUAACUACGUGCCAGCCGCCGCUGUAA
RNAcentral lists this ribosomal RNA (524 nucleotides) under uncultured bacterium. Its description in RNAcentral is "partial 16S ribosomal RNA". It matches the Rfam family "Bacterial small subunit ribosomal RNA", at positions 28 to 523 of the family's 1533-position model. The record is from RNAcentral.